UAGAGUUUGAUCCUGGCUCAGAUCAACGCUGGCGGCGUGCCUAACACAUGCAAGUCGAGCGAGAAAGGGGGGGCAACUCCCUGAGUAAAGCGGCGCACGGGUGAGUAACACGUGGGUAAUCUGCCCUGGAGUGGGGAACAACACCGGGAAACCGGUGCUAAUACCGCAUACGAUCACGAGGUCUGCGGAUCUUGGGAUGAAAGGAGCAAUUCGCUCUAGGAGGAGCCCGCGGCUGAUUAGCUAGUUGGUGAGGUAAUGGCUCACCAAGGCUACGAUCAGUAUCCGGUCUGAAAGGACCGCCCGAAACACUGGAGGUGGAGACCGAUCCAAACUCCUACGGGAGGCAACAGUGGGGAAUGUUAGCCAGUCGUGGCAACAACACACCAAAACAUAUGGCUAACUAAUACGAAACAUACACAUGCUACUUCUCAUAAAGAAGCGAAUGCUUUUCCGUCCUCAUUGCACAUACGUAACCGAUUAACCACACCAGACUACCUCCCCCGAGAAUAGAGAGCCUACUAACUACGACGCUUUGCUUCUACUAUAUACUAGAUCUUUUAUGAUCCAGUUCCAUCAUAUAAUAGACAAUACUGGAAAACGGUAAACCAUACGUCGUUCUCAAAUGACGUACGCUGUCUCAGUACCCUCUUCACGGACGCCAUAAAUACAAUUCCUAUUUCACCUCACUUCCCCACACACGAAGGGAAUUGAUUUACUUCUUUAUCAUCGAUAGAUUUUAUGUAUAACUGAUUCGAGAGAAGAACCUUCACACCGACGGCGGCUCUCAUUACACAUGGACACUAAUACUAAAUCGACUCCUGAUCAUACUGACACUCUCAACACUCCUGCCGAUCAGAGCUA
This 861-nucleotide ribosomal RNA is filed under the name uncultured Acidobacteriota bacterium. RNAcentral describes it as "bacterial SSU rRNA". The stretch from base 3 to 451 matches the Rfam family "Bacterial small subunit ribosomal RNA", at positions 9 to 546 of the family's 1533-position model. The record is from RNAcentral. Lineage: Bacteria; Pseudomonadati; Acidobacteriota.